Molecule: non-coding RNA, 119 nt
Filed under: Macleaya cordata
Lineage: Eukaryota; Viridiplantae; Streptophyta; Magnoliopsida; Ranunculales; Papaveraceae
Description: Bacterial small subunit ribosomal RNA
Rfam family: Bacterial small subunit ribosomal RNA
Source: Rfam by way of RNAcentral
GAAAGCUAGGGGAGCGAAGGGGAUUAGAUACCCCAAUAGUACUCCUGGCCGUAAACGAUGGAUACUAUGUGUUGUGCGUAUCGAUCCGUGUAGUGCUGUAGCUAACGCGUUAAGUAUCC